Molecule: long non-coding RNA, 639 nt
Filed under: Drosophila guanche
Lineage: Eukaryota; Metazoa; Arthropoda; Insecta; Diptera; Drosophilidae
Source: RNAcentral
GAACAUUUGAGGUACGUUUUACAUUUGUUUUACCAUCAAUUAGGAAUCAUUUCUGCUCAGGUUCCCCUAACAUAAUUUAAUGGAACAUUGGAAUUGAAACAGCGAAGGAAUAUUUUGACCUACAUAGGUCUAAAACUCUUGCGAGUUUUCAGUACCUUUCGUUUGGGUAAAAAAAAUACAUUCGCUCUUAGAAAACUCCCCAGUCCCAUUCCCCAUUUAUUUGACCACCAAAAUGUGAAUAUCAAACCUUCUAAAGCUUCCAUACCCAGUCAUCAAUUAGAAGAUAUUCCCAAACCCACCGACAACUCAGUUCCCAGAGAUUUCAAACACAAAACGGUAUUAAUGUAUGAUAUUUGUGAAGCAUUUGGCCUGCCCAAGACACCUAGCAGAAGAUCAAUAAACCCAUUGGAAAGGCCAAUUGAAAACUCGUCAAAUGGAAAUUAUCAACGACAAUUGCAGUUCCUUGAAUGCACUUUGUAUACCGAUGCGUUUAUAUAUGCUACAACAAUUGAAGAGAGUGCACUGUGGAGCCGUUAUUUGACUUUCCCAACAUAUAAUAAUCAUAACUUGAAUUGAAAAUUACCACAACAAGACACCGACACCCAUCGACGACGAUGCAAACAGAGCCCAAACCCCCCC